AAUAUUGCACAAUGGGCGAAAGCCUGAUGCAGCGACGCCGCGUGAGGGAUGACGGCCNNNGGGUUNUCAACCUCUUUCAGUAGNGAANAAGCGAAAGUGACGGUACCUGCAGAAGAAGCGCCGGCUAACUACGUGCCAGCAGCCGCGGUAAUACGUAGGGCGCAAGCGUUAUCCGGAUUUAUUGGGCGUAAAGAGCUCGUAGGCGGUUUGUCGCGUCUGCCGUGAAAGUCCGAGGCUCAACCUCGGAUCUGCGGUGGGUACGGGCAGACUAGAGUGAUGUAGGGGAGACUGGAAUUCCUGGUGUAGCGGUGAAAUGCGCAGAUAUCAGGAGGAACACCGAUGGCGAAGGCAGGUCUCUGGGCAUUUACUGACGCUGAGGAGCGAAAGCAUGGGGAGCGAAC
Molecule: ribosomal RNA, 401 nt
Filed under: uncultured bacterium
Lineage: Bacteria
Description: partial 16S ribosomal RNA
Rfam family: Bacterial small subunit ribosomal RNA
Source: RNAcentral